Mytilus californianus (California mussel) is the source of this 1120-nucleotide long non-coding RNA. RefSeq lists it as uncharacterized. NCBI's taxonomy places the organism in Eukaryota, Metazoa, Mollusca, Bivalvia, Mytilida, Mytilidae. The transcript is spliced from 4 exons. The record is from RefSeq and is a predicted model, not a curated record.
UUAAUUGUUAUAAAAAUUAUUGUCAUCUAAUUCGUGUUUUACUUUUCUUGUUUAAUUUCAUUGUGGAAUUAUCCUCGGACAAGCAAAUUAGUAUUAAUAUUUUAACCGAUGUGGAAUGUUUUGGUCGAAAGCCGCAUCCCAGAUUAAUUUGGCGGCCAUUUAUUUACAAAUGCUUUUACACGACUGACAUAAGCGUUAUAAUAUUUAAUCCUAAUAUUUAAUAUAACUCUUUCUUUUGUGAUCAUUUAAAUAAAAUUGUUUUAAGUUAGGCUUAACUGCUGGGGUACAGCAAGGAUUUUCAUAGUAGUAAAUUCUUCGUUUAACGAGGAUAAACAGUAUAUCUUCCCAUGUGAUAUAGUGAUAAGCCUGACUAGUUUUCGUAUGUGUAUUCACAAAAGAAAAUCUAAGAAACGACUGAUUUACGAACGACAAUACUCGACAAAUUGUAUUUUUGUUCAUCUGAAAAUCACCCCAUUUAGGACCCCAAUAUAUUUAGCAAGAUAAGUUUUCUCCCUUGAAAGCAAUCUUCUGUAUUAUUUUCCCGUAGUUUUUCAACAGACACACAAGUCACAACAAAGAUGUUAGUUAAUUUUUCAGUGAGUACAUUGGACAGCAUUCAAAAGAAAAAAAAAUGAAGAACGCAGAAACAGGCAAAAGAAAAAAAAAAGAAAAAGAAGAAACACCUGAAAUCAUGAUAUUGGAUGAAUUUUAAUUUAUCAAGAUGCUGAAGUAUAAAUGAAUAUGAAGGUUAUAGGAAGUAAACCUGAAAAAGUUCUGAGGUGUCUUACCAAAGAUAAACAAAAAAAGAAUUGAAGGAGGCAGAGUACAAAUUUCUUCCUGAAACUGGAUACUCAAAGGCAAAGGGAAGAAGUCGACUACUUUCAUAUCCAUACAUGAAAAUGAUGUUGAAAACGAAGUGGAUAAGUACACAAAAAGCCACCAUGAGAAGGGACUCAGAUCAGCUUUAUAUUUGAAAGGAACAAGAACAAUUAGAAAUGUCAGAUAUAGCGACUGAAACUUUAUAUUAUUUUACAUGUUACAUCUAUUAUACUUUAUCAAUCUUGGAAAAUAUUUGUGAUUUUAUAAAGAAUAAUUGCAAUGAAUAAAAUUUCAUACAUUU